CGGGCCGGGGAGGGGACGUGCGAGGGGGCUCAGGCCUUGGUAGUUCUCGGCCGUUUCCGGCUCGGCCCGGCCCGUCCCAGCGCUUUCCGGCCAGGCUCGGCCGGGGCCGCCCGGGGGCGGGGCUGGCGGCGGAGAUCCGAGCGUGGCCCGGCCGCCAUGGCGCCCCCGUCCCGCAGGCUGCAGACGAAGCCGGUGAUCACCUGCCUCAAGAGCGUCCUGCUCACCUACAGCUUCGUGUUCUGGAUCUCUGGCAUUAUCCUCCUGGCAGUUGGCAUCUGGGGCAAGGUGGGCCUAGAGGUGUAUUUCUCCCUGUUAAAUGAGAAGGCCACCAAUGUCCCCUACGUACUCAUUGGCACAGGUACUGUUGUCAUCCUUCUGGGCACUUUUGGCUGUUUCGCCACCUGCCGGGGAAGCACAUGGAUGUUAAAACUGUAUGCCAUGUUCUUGUCUCUCAUCUUCUUGAUUGUGCUGGUGGCUGCUGUUGUAGGAUUUGUGUUCAGACAUGAGAUUAAGAACAACUUUCAGAGCAACUAUAGUCUUGCUCUGAGGAACUACAAUGCAACAAUAGAUCCCCAGAGCGACGCGGUGGAUACCAUCCAGAGAACUUUACACUGCUGUGGAGUCCAGAACUAUUUUGACUGGGUGAACACUACCUACUUUGCACAGAAGGGAAUCCCUCUGAGCUGCUGCAAGUUCCAAAACUGCACAGAAAGUGAUCUGAAGGAGCUGGAUAAAGCCAAGGCUAUGGUGUAUGGCAAUGGUUGUUUCAGUCUGGUAACAACAGUUAUGGAGUCCAAAAUGGGCAUUGUGGCUGGUAUCUCCUUUGGCAUCGCUUGCUUCCAGGCACAGCAUAUUUCAGAGAGGAGGAAGUGGUCGACCGUUCUGCAGAUUCUCCUGCCAUUUUGCUUAAGUGCCACCCAGUCACCCAUCUCCGAAACUGGGGUUGAAAAUGCCAGCUUCCUCCCAGCAAGCCUGCGUAUGGCUUGAGAACAGCUCACUCUGGAAACGGCCAACUUCUAAGAGAUGCCAGUGCAACCAAACCUCUCUUGUUCUGAUGCAGUGUUAGCUGUCUGAAUUACUGCUUCCAGCUCACAAACUGUCACCCUUGCUUCCGCUGCCCUUUCAGGAUGAUAGUUUAACUAACUUAAAGUGCUUGUAGGUGACCUAAAACAGCCUGAAAUGCCUCUCUCAAAUUCAGACCCAGUUAAUACAAUGACACCAUCUUCUGUUAGCCACACUGCAGAACAGCGUGCAUAAUAUUACAGACUCCCUCUUCUCCCCUUGCUGUUUCUUCCUCUCCCUCUGAUUCUUCAACCUGAGGUUUUAUCCUGGUGGUGAAGAAGCAUCAUGUCUCAAGCAGCAACGGAACUAGUGUCUCCUAAUCUGACCAACCUUGUCUCAGUAGGAAGCAAGAGGCCUCUGGCCUGAGCUCCUUGUGUGCAUGGGGAACAUUUUGAAGUGGGCUUUCAGAAGAGCUCCCUACAUUGGGUGCAUGUUGAGUGCUGAGCAGUUGUGAAAAUGUGAUCAUAAGUGUCCCAGUGGGAGUUGCUUGGUGCUGAGAACUCUUGCAAAUCUGGCCCAUAUUUAGUUGAGCUGCUUGGAAAAUUUGACCUCAAUUCUGGUUCCUGAGCACUUGAAAGCCUGCCUAGUGGGCUAAGGUUAGCAGGUUUUGCCUUCAUAUAGGGUCUCUCUGGCUGAUGGAGCUUCCUGACACGUUUGGUUCAGUCUCUGUCAUCUGAGAAGGUGAUCAAAAUGGUGUCCCUUAGCAUGUGUUUCUUUCAUGGCUUUAUCACAUGGGCAUGUGCUCUCACCAUCUCUGUAGGGUCAUCUUUCACUCUUGUGUGUGUCAGAGUAUUACGUCUUAGGGAGAAUUUAAAAGAUAGCUGGUGCAGAUCUUCCUUAUCCACGGGCUCUCCCAGAAUGCUGAUACUGCGACAGCACAUCAGUGUGUAUUGGUACGUAACAGGGCAGAUAUCUGAACAAGUUUCUGUGUGCAUAGUAUGUCAAGUAAGAUCAUCUACUGUACUGCCUAGGUCUUGCUGAGUGCCUCAGUUGUGGUCUGAGCCCUUAGUCUUUCUGCUGCAGCUGCUAGGUUUGCUGAAAUCGCCUGUGUUCUGUGAUGUUUGGCUGUGAUUGUUUCUAGGAAUUCGAACACCUUGCAGUCGGCAAGGAAGGUGGCAACAGAGACAAAGACACAGAUGAACUACGCCUCAUUACUUGACUUGACUCUUGUUUCGAGGCGACUUCCAUUCUUUCUGAAAUUCUCGAACACAGAGUCACAGAUCUCUGUAUCAAUUCCAAAUGGCAGAACUCCUUAUUUUCUUUAAAGCGUGUUUGCUUUUGAGUAAAGAGUAUGAAGAAACAGCAGCUUGAGAUUGAGGCAAAGGAGUACACAGACUCAAAACCAGAGAAGAGACUGGCAGAGUGAGAUUGUGUAUUGAUUGCUUGAUUUAUUUUAGCUUUAAUUUACUCUUCAUUGAAGGAAAUUGCCUGAAAGCUGCCUGUGAGGUACACAGGCACAUCUUGUCCGAGUCAAGGUUUAACAUGUAAUAGCACAAGCACAGAGAGAAGAAUCUCGGCCAGCCUGUUUUAUUCUGAUAUUCGUUUGUCACUGUGCUGUUCCCUGUAACAGACACACACAGCAAGGACUGGGAGAGGUUGGAGCACAGACCUUUAUCUUGCAGCUGGUACAUUUGCAAACUGUCUUCAUUGCAUUUUGUUGUCAGUUUCCUAGGGCUGGAGCCAGUUGGUCUCUUUCAGCUGCUAUCCAUUUCCUCCCUCCUUCCUGGGAUGUACAUAUCACACUCUACUUAUUACAGCUUCCACAUCUAUAUUCCAAACAGGACAUCUGGAGUUUGAUGAAUAAGUAGGUGGGCCCAUGUGCCUUCGUCAGCUCUAGGCAGGUAACCGCAUUGUAGCGGUUGCAGUUAUUGAGGAACGUGUCAUUGUUUGGGGCUUAGAAUCAUAUAAACAUUUCAUGAUUUAUUCUCAAGUGAACUUUGUUGUGUCACGCAAGUGAAAGGCCCAAUUCUGCAACUUUGCCUCCUGUGAGUCCAGUUACAUGCAUGAGUGCUUUUAGGAUCAGGUCCUAAAUGCCUUUGGUACAGAAAACAGCUGCCUGGAGCCCACACAACAGUCAUAACUGAUGUGUGUCCUUCAGUGUUUUCACAUCAGAAACACACCAACCUUGAUUCCAUCAUUGUCCUUGCAGUGGGGAGAGGCAGUUGAUAUUUUCUACUGGUUGUGUAAUGGGCUGUGAUGCUCCUGAGAGCCAUAUAAUCUCUGUGAAAUUACCAUAAAACAGUAGAUGGUUCAUAAAGCAAAUUCUAACAAGAAGCAACGUUCUCUUUCUCUCACAGGGAGAGCCUUCUCAUUGAUGGCUGCCAGGAUCCUCUGACGCUCAGCUUUAUCCACGCUAAAGCAAAGGAGCCCAGAUUUUGCUUUUACAAAAUCAAAACAGUCUCCAGUGCUUCAGAUCUCGGUUGCAUUGUAUCCAAAUCAUUACAGUUUGGAUGUCCGGUUUUGGGUGACCUAUACUUAGUUUAUUUUUUCACAUUUCAGUUGGUUGGGAUCUUUCUCGCCUGCUGCCUUUCCCGGUACAUCACAAACAAUCAGUACGAGAUGGUGUAACAAGCCAGCCUUUGACUAAGGAAAUUUCCUCUGAUCUCCCUCCUUUGGAGAGCACUUCAUGACCUCCAGUUUUCACCUGGUCCCAGCCUGCUGAAAUCAUGUUUGAACUGACUGAUCCUCUUCAGAAUCAGCGCACGGAAUAGAGUGUACCAGCUGUUCUGUCGCAGUCAGGGAAUUGUCAAAACACUACUCUUUUGUAACACUGAAUGGGGUAAUUAGUGUACCCAAGGUAGUUAUAAUAACUACAUUCCUCCAGGCCCCCACCUCCUCAGUUUGAUUGCACAAUGAAGUAGCAUGAUAUGACAGUACUCUUAUGUCAUUCUUAUACUUUCUGCUAGUUAUUUAACUGGAAUGCACCAUUAAUUUUGGAGGUGUAUAGUAUGCAUUAGGAACGAAGCACUCAUUGCAUUCUCUUCUGCCUUUGGUCAUUUAAAUUAUAUUAUUCACUUCACACUCUGUCAGUGAUCCAUUGAAACACCUACUGUUGCAACUGGCUGGUCCUAUCAUGUUAUGCAGAUGCAUUGCCAUGUCUGUCUGAGGCUCUGUGUUCAAUAGCAUCUGUUUCCAGGCUCUCUUCCCAAUCAAGGGUUUUAUAUCACUUUUUUUAUAAUUGUAUUUUUUAAAGGGCCUCGUUCCUGUCUCCUGAUCAGGUUGUAGUGAUUUUCAUAAGUUGUAGCAUGAGGUUCGGUGGUGUAGCUGUCUGUGUCGAUAGCUUUGUAGGUAUGCCUCCACCAAGUUGGGCAUGAUUUCAUCAUCAGUAUUAUGUUCUGCCUUAACUUGUUUUUUUUGUAUUAAAUAGAAAUCCUCUUGUCUUGAAACACAAUAAAUAUUAAAUAUUUUACUCUAAAA
RNA transcript from Chelonia mydas (Green sea turtle), 4479 nucleotides. It is a transcript of the gene named tetraspanin 6, with no coding region annotated. NCBI's taxonomy places the organism in Eukaryota, Metazoa, Chordata, Testudines, Cheloniidae. The record is from RefSeq and is a predicted model, not a curated record. The transcript has 8 exons.